Molecule: ribosomal RNA, 466 nt
Filed under: uncultured bacterium
Lineage: Bacteria
Description: partial 16S ribosomal RNA
Rfam family: Bacterial small subunit ribosomal RNA
Source: RNAcentral
GACGAACGCUGGCGGCGCGCCUAACACAUGCAAGUCGAACGAGCGAGCGAGAGCUUGCUUUCUUGAGCGAGUGGCGAACGGGUGAGUAACGCGUGAGGAACCUGCCUCAAAGAGGGGGACAACAGUUGGAAACGACUGCUAAUACCGCAUAAGCCCACGGUGCCGCAUGGCACAGAGGGAAAAGGAGCAAUCCGCUUUGAGAUGGCCUCGCGUCCGAUUAGCUAGUUGGUGAGGUAACGGCCCACCAAGGCGACGAUCGGUAGCCGGACUGAGAGGUUGAACGGCCACAUUGGGACUGAGGCACGGACCAGACUCCUACGGGAGGCAGCAGUAGGGAAUAUUGCACAAUGGGGGAAACCCUGAUGCAGCGACGCCGCGUGGAGGAAGAAGGUCUUCGGAUUGUAAACUCCUGUUGUUGGGGAAGAUAAUGACGGUACCCAACAAGGAAGUGACGGCUAACUACGUG